GAACUUACAGGUCUCGUUGGUGACCAGCGGAGGGAUCAUUACCGAGUUUACAACUCCCAAACCCCUGUGAACAUACCUAUACGUUGCCUCGGCGGAUCAGCCCGCGCCCUGUAAAAAGGGACGGCCCGCCCGAGGACCCUAAACUCUGUUUUUAGUGGAACUUCUGAGUAAAACAAACAAAUAAAUCAAAACUUUCAACAACGGAUCUCUUGGUUCUGGCAUCGAUGAAGAACGCAGCAAAAUGCGAUAAGUAAUGUGAAUUGCAGAAUUCAGUGAAUCAUCGAAUCUUUGAACGCACAUUGCGCCCGCCAGUAUUCUGGCGGGCAUGCCUGUUCGAGCGUCAUUUCAACCCUCAAGCUCAGCUUGGUGUUGGGACUCGCGGUAACCCGCGUUCCCCAAAUCGAUUGGCGGUCACGUCGAGCUUCCAUAGCGUAGUAAUCAUACACCUCGUUACUGGUAAUCGUCGCGGCCACGCCGUAAAACCCCAACUUCUGAAUGUUGACCUCGGAUCAGGUAGGAAUACCCGCUGAACUUAAGCAUAUCAAUAAGGCGGAGGAA
Molecule: ribosomal RNA, 558 nt
Filed under: Fusarium equiseti
Lineage: Eukaryota; Fungi; Ascomycota; Sordariomycetes; Hypocreales; Nectriaceae
Description: eukaryotic LSU rRNA
Rfam family: 5.8S ribosomal RNA (bases 190-343)
Source: RNAcentral